GACUACCGGGGUAUCUAAUCCCGUUUGCUCCCCUAGCUUUCGCGCCUCAGCGUCAGUGUCGGUCCAGAAAGCCGCCUUCGCCACUGGUGUUCCUCCGGAUAUCUACGCAUUUCACCGCUACACCCGGAAUUCCGCUUUCCUCUCCCGAACUCAAGCCUCGCAGUAUCCCGUGCAGAUCCUCAGUUAAGCCGAGGGCUUUCACACGAGACUUACAAGGCCGCCUACGCGCCCUUUACGCCCAGUAAUUCCGAACAACGCUUGCCACCUCUGUAUUACCGCGGCUGCUGGCACAGAGUUAGCCGUGGCUUCCUCCACCGGUACCGUCAACAUUCCGACGUAUUAGGUCGAGUGCAUUCGUCCCGGUCGACAGGAGUUUACAAUCCGAAGACCUUCAUCCUCCACGCGGCGUUGCUUCGUCAGGCUUGCGCCCAUUGCGAAAAAUUCCCCACUGCAGCCCCCCGUAGG
This 465-nucleotide ribosomal RNA is filed under the name uncultured Acidobacteriota bacterium. Its description in RNAcentral is "uncultured Acidobacteria bacterium partial 16S ribosomal RNA". Lineage: Bacteria; Pseudomonadati; Acidobacteriota. The record is from RNAcentral.